RNAcentral lists this ribosomal RNA (444 nucleotides) under uncultured bacterium. RNAcentral's name for it is "partial 16S ribosomal RNA". It matches the Rfam family "Bacterial small subunit ribosomal RNA", at positions 331 to 792 of the family's 1533-position model. The record is from RNAcentral.
CCAGACUCCUACGGGAGGCAGCAGUGGGGAAUAUUGCACAAUGGGGGAAACCCUGAUGCAGCAACGCCGCGUGAGUGAGGAAGUAUUUCGGUAUGUAAAGCUCUAUCAGCAGGGAAUAGAAAAGAAGGUACCUGAAAAAGAAGCCCCGGCUAACUACGUGCCAGCAGCCGCGGUAAUACGUAGGGGGCAAGCGUUAUCCGGAUUUAUUGGGUUUAAAGGGUGCGCAGGCGGAGGCACAAGUCAGCGGUAAAAUCGCGGGGCUCACCCCCGCUCCGCCGUUGAAACUGUGUCCCUUGAGUGCGCGAAGGGUAGGCGGAAUGCGUGGUGUAGCGGUGAAAUGCAUAGAUAUCACGCAGAACUCCGAUCGCGAAGGCAGCCUACCGGCGCGCAACUGACGCUCAUGCACGAAAGCGUGGGUAUCGAACAGGAUUAGAUACCCUCGUA